CUCCAAGGAAACCAAGAACCAGAUGUGGAUCCACCAGCUAUGACAGUGUGGAACCAUGUCAACCCCCAAUAACUGCAGUGUAGUGCUCCAUGACAUUAAGAAAUAUUUAUUGAGUGUCUACUAUGUGUGGUGCAUGGAAAAUGAUGAGUAUAGCAGACCCAAUCCCUCUAUGUCUUUGGACCACCUCACACCUGUUGGAAUGGUCAUUAUCAGCAAGACAGGUCGUGGGAUGAAUAACUGCUUGUCACUAUUUCUCAGCUGAGACUCAGCUGCUGCAGGCACCUUCUCAGGGUCCAGCUUCCAUCCCAAACCGAGCCAGG
Myotis lucifugus (little brown bat) is the source of this 320-nucleotide long non-coding RNA. RefSeq lists it as uncharacterized. NCBI's taxonomy places the organism in Eukaryota, Metazoa, Chordata, Mammalia, Chiroptera, Vespertilionidae. The transcript has 3 exons. The record is from RefSeq and is a predicted model, not a curated record.